CAUACCAUUUGCAAAAGUAGACAACCCAAGGUAUUGCAAAUUGGGUAUGUCCAGUCUUUUUUAGUAGCCACUUAGUCACAAACACUGGCCAAAAUUAGCUUUCAAUUUAGUUUUUUUGCAUUUUUCACAAUCAACAAAUAUGAACGCUAAUUUUGGCCAGUGUUUGUGACUAAGUGGCUACUAAAAAAGACUGGACAUACCCCAUUUGUAAUACCUUGGGUUGUCUACUUUUGCAAAUGGUAUG
This 244-nucleotide microRNA precursor is filed under the name Pelobates cultripes (western spadefoot toad). The record is from RNAcentral. Lineage: Eukaryota; Metazoa; Chordata; Amphibia; Anura; Pelobatidae.